AGCAGCCGCGGUAAUUCCAGCUCCAAUAGCGUAUAUUAAAGUUGUUGCAGUUAAAAAGCUCGUAGUUGAAUUUUGGGUCUGGCCGGGCGGUCCGUCCUCUGGAUGAGUACUGUUCCGACGUCGGGCCUAUCCUUCUGGUGAGUCGGCAUGCCCUUUAUUGGGUGCGUCGGGGAACCAGGACCAUUACCUUGAAAAAAUUAGAGUGUUCAAAGCAGGCUUUUGCUCGAAUACAUUAGCAUGGAAUAAUGAAAUAGGACGCGUGGUGCUAUUUUGUUGGUUUCUAGAACCGCCGUAAUGAUUAAUAGGGAUAGUUGGGGGCAUUAGUAUUCAAUUGUCAGAGGUGAAAUUCUUGGAUUUAUUGAAGACUAACUUCUGCGAAAGCAUUUGCCAAGGAUGUUUUCAUUAAUCAAGAACGAAAGUUAGGGGAUCGAAGACGAUCAGAUACCGUCGUAGUCUUAACCAUAAACUAUGCCGACUAGGAAUCGGGCGAUGUUAUUCUCACGACUCG
This 508-nucleotide ribosomal RNA is filed under the name Glomus sp. UY1184.10. Its description in RNAcentral is "SSU rRNA". It matches the Rfam family "Eukaryotic small subunit ribosomal RNA", at positions 569 to 1078 of the family's 1831-position model. The record is from RNAcentral. Lineage: Eukaryota; Fungi; Glomeromycota; Glomeromycetes; Glomerales; Glomeraceae.